RNAcentral lists this ribosomal RNA (839 nucleotides) under uncultured bacterium. Its description in RNAcentral is "bacterial SSU rRNA". It matches the Rfam family "Bacterial small subunit ribosomal RNA", at positions 8 to 840 of the family's 1533-position model. The record is from RNAcentral.
AGAGUUUGAUCAUGGCUCAGGACGAACGCUGGCGGCGUGCCUAAUGAAUGCGAGUCGAACGGACUACGGUAAUCGUAACUGCUUUCGGGCAGUUACACUCUCCGUAGUUAGUGGCAAACGGGUGAGUAACACGUGGGUAACGUGCCUUCAGGACGAGGAUAACGGGGCGAAAGCCCUGCUAAUACUCGAUGGACUGCCCCCGCUAUGGCGGGGACCAGUAAAUGCUCCGGCGCCUGGAGAUCGGCCCGCGGCCCAUUAGCUUGUUGGUGAGGUAACGGCUCACCAAGGCGACAAUGGGUAGCUGGUCUGAGAGGACGAUCAGCCACACUGGGACUGAGACAUGGUCCAGACUCCUACGGGAGUUAGCAUCCGGGAAUCUUGCACAAUGGGCGCAAGCCUGAUGCAGCGACGCCGCGUGGGUGAUGAAGGUCUGCGGAUCGUAAAGCCCUGUCAGGAGGGAAGACACCCGACUGUACCUCCAAAGGAAGCCCCGGCUAACUACGUGCCAGCAGCCGCGGUAAAACGUAGGGGGCUAGCGUUGUCCGGAAUUACUGGGCGUAAAGCGCACGCAGGCGGUCUGGAAAGCGGUGGGUGCAAUCUCGAGGCUCAACCUCGAAACUGCUCGCCGAACUACCAGACUUGAGCACGGGAGAGGACAGUGGAAUUCCCGGUGUAGCGGUGGAAUGCGUAAAUAUCGGGAGGAACACCAGUGGCGAAGGCUGCUGUCUGGAACGUUGCUGACGCUGAGGUGCGAAAGCCAGGGGAGCGAACGGGAUUAGAUACCCCGGUAGUCCUGGCCGUAAACGAUGCUCACUAGGUGUUGCCGGCAUUAACCCCGG